UACAGAGGGUGCAAGCGUUAUUCGGAAUUAUUGGGCGUAAAGAGCGUGUAGGUGGUUUGAUAAGUCUGAUGUGAAAGCCCUGGACUCAAUCCAGGAAGCGCAUUGGAUACUGUCAGACUAGAGUGCAGGAGAGGUGAGCGGAAUUCCAGGAGUAGAGGUGAAAUUCGUAGAUAUCUGGAGGAACAACAGAGGCGAAGGCGGCUCACUGGACUGUAACUGACACUAAGGCGCGAAAGCGUGGGGAGCAAAC
RNAcentral lists this ribosomal RNA (250 nucleotides) under uncultured bacterium. RNAcentral's name for it is "partial 16S ribosomal RNA". It matches the Rfam family "Bacterial small subunit ribosomal RNA", at positions 524 to 773 of the family's 1533-position model. The record is from RNAcentral.